This 125-nucleotide ribosomal RNA is filed under the name Chinchilla lanigera (long-tailed chinchilla). The record is from RNAcentral. Lineage: Eukaryota; Metazoa; Chordata; Mammalia; Rodentia; Chinchillidae.
GUCUACGGUCAUACCACCUUGAACACAUCUGAUCUCAUCUGAUCGUGGAAACUAAGCAGGGUCAGGCCUGGUUAGUCCUUGGAUGGGAGAUGUUGUGCUUCUGUGUAAACACUGGAAAGUAAACU